GACGUAGGAGGCGAGCGUUAUCCGGAUUCACUGGGCGUAAAGCGCGCGUAGGCGGUUGUGUAAGUCCGUUGUUAAAGCCCCUGGCUCAACUGGGGGAGGUCAAUGGAGACUACACUGACUUGAGGGCAACAGAGGCACAUGGAACUCCCGGUGUAGCGGUGGAAUGCGUAGAGAUCGGGAAGAACACCCGUGGCGAAGGCGGUGUGCUGGGUUGCGACUGACGCUGAUGUGCGAAAGUGUGGGGAGCAAACGGG
RNAcentral lists this ribosomal RNA (254 nucleotides) under uncultured bacterium. Its description in RNAcentral is "partial 16S ribosomal RNA". It matches the Rfam family "Bacterial small subunit ribosomal RNA", at positions 524 to 776 of the family's 1533-position model. The record is from RNAcentral.